GAUGAACGCUGGCGGCGUGCCUAAUACAUGCAAGUCGAGCGAACAGACGAGGAGCUUGCUCCUCUGACGUUAGCGGCGGACGGGUGAGUAACACGUGGAUAACCUACCUAUAAGACUGGGAUAACUUCGGGAAACCGGAGCUAAUACCGGAUAAUAUAUUGAACCGCAUGGUUCAAUAGUGAAAGACGGUUUUGCUGUCACUUAUAGAUGGAUCCGCGCCGCAUUAGCUAGUUGGUAAGGUAACGGCUUACCAAGGCAACGAUGCGUAGCCGACCUGAGAGGGUGAUCGGCCACACUGGAACUGAGACACGGUCCAGACUCCUACGGGAGGCACCAGUAGGGCAUCUUCCGCAAUGGGCGAAAGCCUGACGGAGCAACGCCGCGUGAGUGAUGAAGGUCUUCGGAUCGUAAAACUCUGUUAUUAGGGAAGAACAAAUGUGUAAGUAACUAUGCACGUCUUGACGGUACCUAAUCAGAAAGCCACGGCUAACUACGUG
Molecule: ribosomal RNA, 497 nt
Filed under: uncultured bacterium
Lineage: Bacteria
Description: partial 16S ribosomal RNA
Rfam family: Bacterial small subunit ribosomal RNA
Source: RNAcentral